CCUACGGGAGGCAGCAGUGAGGAAUAUUGGUCAAUGGACGAGAGUCUGAACCAGCCAAGUAGCGUGAAGGAUGACUGCCCUAUGGGUUGUAAACUUCUUUUAUAUGGGAAUAAAAUGUUCCACGUGUGGGAUUUUGUAUGUACCAUAUGAAUAAGGAUCGGCUAACUCAGUGCCAGCAGCCGCGGUAAUACGGAGGAUCCGAGCGUUAUCCGGAUUUAUUGGGUUUAAAGGGAGCGUAGGUGGAUUGUUAAGUCAGUUGUGAAAGUGUGCGGCUCAACCGGAAAAUUGCAGUUGAAACUGGCAGUCUUGAGUACAGUAGAGGUAGGCGGAAUUCGUGGUGUAGCGGUGAAAUGCGUAGAUAUGACGAAGAACUCCGAUUGCGAAGGCAGUUCACUGGACUGCAACUGACACUGAUGCUCGAAAGUGUGGGUAUCAAACAGGAUUAGAUACCCGAGUAGUC
RNAcentral lists this ribosomal RNA (460 nucleotides) under uncultured bacterium. RNAcentral describes it as "partial 16S ribosomal RNA". It matches the Rfam family "Bacterial small subunit ribosomal RNA", at positions 338 to 795 of the family's 1533-position model. The record is from RNAcentral.